AUGGAGAUAAUGUAACCAAAGUCAACACAAGGUGUAUCAAACUCUGGUCACGUAAGAAAGUAAAUACAGAUUGUAUUUGAUAUCUAAAUUGACAGUAGCGAAUAGCAUAACUUCCAAGCAAGAUAUAUACAAACGUGUACAUACAUUAGAGAAAGAUCCCUGCAGCUUAUCGAUCACUUAAUUAGGAAGAUCCCAACAUUAACACUUUCAAGAUAUAUAUACCCAAAAACUGACUCACUGACCCAAGGGGAUCGACCCUUGUUAUGUACGUCCAACUCUAAAUGUCCCGUACGUCCAGAUUUAUCUCGAAUCAAGAAAUAACACCAUCAACUUCCAUGAGGUAAAUGCUGACUAUACACUUAGCUAUAAGCACUUAAGAGACAUGGCUUAAUUAAGGUUAAGGACCUUGUAGAUCAGUCUGAAAGCAUGACAUCAGUAUUGUCUCUUCCUCACCUUAAGGAUCAACAAUAGUCAUUGUCAAUAUUAUUAAUAUUUUGCAAGACCAAUCUAGCUUUCUGGACUUAUUGUUUUAUAUAUAUGAUCAGUGUACGGAUUCUCCCAAAAUUGAUUAUACCAUACAGUUGUGGUUCAGAAUAAGGCUUAUCUAAACUAAUUAAUCCUGGAGAAGUGGUCCCAAAAGAUUUCAAAAAUGUUAGAUACUUAUCCCAUUUACUUCUUAGAUAAUAUUUUUUUUAAAAGUUUAUUAGUACGUAGGUUAAAACAGGAUAUCUUUGGUUAGACUAUAAAAGUGGAUAAGCAAAAG
This 763-nucleotide long non-coding RNA is filed under the name Glycine max (soybean). RNAcentral describes it as "long non-coding RNA (GMAX_LNC003024)". Lineage: Eukaryota; Viridiplantae; Streptophyta; Magnoliopsida; Fabales; Fabaceae. The record is from RNAcentral.